RNAcentral lists this transfer RNA (72 nucleotides) under Camelus bactrianus (Bactrian camel). It matches the Rfam family "tRNA". Rfam says of the family: Transfer RNA (tRNA) molecules are approximately 80 nucleotides in length. Their secondary structure includes four short double-helical elements and three loops (D, anti-codon, and T loops). Further hydrogen bonds mediate the characteristic L-shaped molecular structure. tRNAs have two regions of fundamental functional importance: the anti-codon, which is responsible for specific mRNA codon recognition, and the 3' end, to which the tRNAs corresponding amino acid is attached (by aminoacyl-tRNA synthetases). tRNAs cope with the degeneracy of the genetic code in two manners: having more than one tRNA (with a specific anti-codon) for a particular amino acid; and 'wobble' base-pairing, i.e. permitting non-standard base-pairing at the 3rd anti-codon position. Lineage: Eukaryota; Metazoa; Chordata; Mammalia; Artiodactyla; Camelidae. RNAcentral also lists the same sequence under 2 other names. The record is from Rfam by way of RNAcentral.
GUGGAUAUAGCUCAGUGGUAGAGCACGUGCUUAGCAUGCAUGAGGUUCUGGGUUCAACCCCCAGAACCUCCA